Long non-coding RNA from Zea mays, 1806 nucleotides. RefSeq lists it as uncharacterized. NCBI's taxonomy places the organism in Eukaryota, Viridiplantae, Streptophyta, Magnoliopsida, Poales, Poaceae. The transcript has 2 exons. The record is from RefSeq and is a predicted model, not a curated record.
CUGCCUAUAUAUUCAGUGACUGCAAACUUGAUUCAGUGAAACCUCCUGUCUACCCUCAAGUUCUAGCUAAAGGAGUAUGGAUUCCUUGUGCUACUGCUGAUGUAACCCUCUUCUCUGUCCCAAGAUCGAGUUGCUCCAGAGCCUGGCACACCAUCACCAGUGUGGUGACCAAGUCCACCCGAAUGCUCAUCUCACCUUGGCCAGGGUUGCAUGCCCAGGCGACACUUGUUAUGUGGUCUCUAGUGGUCAGUGAAGCUCACGCAUUGACGCAAAUCAGCUUUUGAACUCUACCAUUGUCAGGUGAUCGGAACAGGGUUGUGCCGCCGCAGAUGGGCGCCACAGACAGCUUCACCGCCGACCGGGUGACUCACGCUUUCUCCGGCCGAUUCCUCGCGAGCACCGAAGUUUAGAAGAAGUUGUGUUGGAAGGAGGAGUCUACUCCAGUGUAUGCUAAUCAAGUGGAGGAGCCAUCUAACUGGGUAUUUGAUAAAGGGAUCUAGAACCUCUUCACUGCAAUAAGGCAAGCCCGGUGAAUUUGCCCAUUCCUUGUAUUUUUAAAAUACUUUUAUACACUUUAAGUCUAGUGAAAUGUGCACUAAGUUUAUAGGAGUUUCUUGGAAACUAUUUGAUGCAUAGACUACCUUGAUAUCCAUUCCUUUUAUAAAUACUUCUUUAGAAGUAUCAAAUAUUGUUUACAAAAUUGCUUAGCCCUGUCUAGAGGUAAAUCUUGUAGAUAGAGUUUGUCCUUUGCACUAAUGCCUAGCUCAGGAUUUAUCCUGAGGAAGGAUGGCUCUACCUACAAGAAUAUUUUCACCUAGAUCAUGGGGAGAUGUAAUACAAGGUUCCAUGUGAUGUUUUCAUCAUCCUAAGGUACACAAAUAAGUCCGAAGGAUGAAAGUACUUAAAUCGAGACUUGGGCUAGGAACAGGUGAUGUUUUGCCCAAGUUGAUUAAAGAAUACAGGGAAUGUAGGCUUGCUGAUCGAGGCAUAUAUUAACUGGCCACCUGCCCUGGUAUGGGACAGGGUAAGCCUAAUCUCCGCUGGACCAAUAUCAGAACAGCUCGCCCGCACUGGGCAUGGGAGAUGGUGAGAGUAGUGUCUACCCUCCGUGGCAAGAGGCCGGACGGUGGAGUAACUAUGCUCUCGGGUAGCGGGAACCCAUUCUAGUCUUGAGAAACACAGGUGCAGGUUGGCGUAUACAAGGGUUAAGUGUUACAUAUGUCGUGUGGUUAGAGGUCCCUAGCUGGGUAAAUCGAUUCAAAUCACCAUUAUAUCCUCAAACAAUAGAGACUUGAUCACUGCCCUGCAAUCUAAGUCAUGGAUGGAAUCACAAUGAGUAAAAAUAAUGUUGUGUUGAUGAGAUGAUGAGAUUAGACUAGAUACAAACAAGGUCUAUUAAUACUCAAUCUAGCAUUAAAAUGUUGAAAGUAAGGACUCCUUUUAGUAAGCUUUUCUGCAAACUAUUAAAGUUGAUUCUUGCUAAAAGCCUUUCCUUGAUUCCCAAAUCCAGCAUAUCCUUGAGAGUCUUUUUCCUUAGUCAGGUAAGACUUGCGAAAGUACACUCCGUACUCAGGGUUUCCGAACCCAUGAUGUUGCAGGUGAUCAGGAGUAUUCUUGGUGUCCCUGUGGCUAGAAGAUGCUUCUAGUUUUGAAGGAUGAUUAGUUAGGUGUGUUUGUGAGCCUUGGAAGGGUUCUGCCUUCCUGGUUUUGUAAUUAAGUUAUGCAUUUCAAGUUCUAUCAGGACUUGUAAUAAUUCUUUCUAUGUAAUAAAACUUGAGCUUUGGAAAUGUGAAGAAUGUUUGUAAA